RNAcentral lists this ribosomal RNA (775 nucleotides) under uncultured Glomus. RNAcentral describes it as "SSU rRNA". It matches the Rfam family "Eukaryotic small subunit ribosomal RNA", at positions 338 to 1114 of the family's 1831-position model. Lineage: Eukaryota; Fungi; Glomeromycota; Glomeromycetes; Glomerales; Glomeraceae. The record is from RNAcentral.
GGCCUACCAUGGUGGUAACGGGUAACGGGGUGUUAGGGCACGACACCGGAGAGGGAGCCUGAGAAACGGCUACCACAUCCAAGGAUGGCAGCAGGCGCGCAAAUUACCCAAUCCCGACACGGGGAGGUAGUGACAAUAAAUAACAAUACGGGGUUCUUUAGGAUCUCGUAAUUGGAAUGAGUACAAUUUAAAUCUCUUAACGAGGAACAAUUGGAGGGCAAGUCUGGUGCCAGCAGCCGCGGUAAUUCCAGCUCCAAUAGCGUAUAUUAAAGUUGUUGCAGUUAAAAAGCUCGUAGUUGAAUUUCGGGGUUAGUAGGUUGGUCAUGCCUCCGGUAUGUACUGAUCUCACUGAUUCCUCCUUCCUUAUGAACCGUAAUGCCAUUAAUUUGGUGUUGCGGGGAAUUUGGACUGUUACUUUGAAAAAAUUAGAGUGUUUAAAGCAGGCUAACGCUUGAAUACAUUAGCAUGGAAUAAUGAAAUAGGACGUUCGAUCUUAUUUUGUUGGUUUCUAGGAUUGACGUAAUGAUUAAUAGGGAUAGUUGGGGGCAUUAGUAUUCAAUUGUCAGAGGUGAAAUUCUUGGAUUUAUUGAAGACUAACUACUGCGAAAGCAUUUGCCAAGGAUGUUUUCAUUAAUCAAGAACGAAAGUUAGGGGAUCGAAGACGAUCAGAUACCGUCGUAGUCUUAACCAUAAACCAUGCCGACUAGGGAUCGGAUGAUGUUAAUUUUUUAAUGACUCAUUCGGCGCCUUACGGGAAACCAAAGUGUUUGGGUUC